AAAUAAUCACUUUCUGUCAGAGGUGGACUUACACUGAAGCAAAUGCAGUUUAAAUUUUAAUGAAGUUUAAGGGCCCCUUGCAAUUCUCAGGAAAAUAGGAAAAAAAUUAACAACAUGAGGGAAGUUGUAAGACAUGGGAAAUGAUAGAGUGCUUUACACCCAGGCCUGUGUAGACUGACUCCCCUGCUGAGAUGAAGAUGCCAACAGGACAACAGAGCAGCAGGUGCCCUGCCUCAGGUGGACAGCCUCCAAUCUUGCUGUGGAGAAGACUAAGCAGAGAUUUAAGAAUACUCCUAUCCCAAGGUUGCACAAUUUGUAAGUGGCAGGAAUGUAGUCUUCUGAUUCAUAUUCCAGUGCUUGUCUUAAUGUGAAAGUUAUGAAAAUAAAUCAAAUUUUGUACUUUCAUGGAGCAAAUGUUACUAUCAGAUCAGUUGUGUCUACAUUUCACCAAAAUAUUUACCAAUCCAGAAAAAAAAAUAAGCCAAUAUGAGAUACUUGGCACCACGUAGGAAA
RNAcentral lists this long non-coding RNA (513 nucleotides) under Homo sapiens (human). Its description in RNAcentral is "HSALNT0075473". Lineage: Eukaryota; Metazoa; Chordata; Mammalia; Primates; Hominidae. The record is from RNAcentral.